UACGUAGGGACCAAGCGUUGUCCGGAAUCAUUGGGCGUAAAGAGCGUGUAGGCGGCCUGUUAAGUCUUGCGUGAAAUCUCGGGGCUCAACCCCGAGCGGUCGUGAGAAACUGGCAGGCUAGAGUGCGGGAGAGGAGAGUGGAAUUCCUGGUGUAGCGGUGAAAUGCGCAGAUAUCAGGAAGAACACCCGUGGCGAAGGCGGCUCUCUGGGACGGUACUGACGCUGAGACGCGAAAGCGUGGGGAGCGAACAGG
Molecule: ribosomal RNA, 253 nt
Filed under: uncultured bacterium
Lineage: Bacteria
Description: partial 16S ribosomal RNA
Rfam family: Bacterial small subunit ribosomal RNA
Source: RNAcentral